Molecule: ribosomal RNA, 229 nt
Filed under: uncultured bacterium
Lineage: Bacteria
Description: partial 16S ribosomal RNA
Rfam family: Bacterial small subunit ribosomal RNA
Source: RNAcentral
UACGUAGGCGGAAAAUUAAGUCAGUAGUGAAAUCCCACAGCUUAACUGUGGAACUGUUAUUGAUACUGGUUUUCUUGAAUAUAGUUGAGGUGGGCGGAAUGUGUAAUGUAGCGGUGAAAUGCUUAGAUAUUACACAGAACACCGAUUGCGAAGGCAGCUUACUAAACUAUGAUUGACGCUGAGGUACGAAAGCGUGGGGAGCGAACAGGAUUAGAUACCCUGGUAGUCC